CUGUCACCCAGGCUGGAGUGCAGUGGCACGAUCUUGGCUAUUGCAGCCUCUGCCUCCUGGUUUCAAGCGAUUCUCCUGCCUCAGCCUCCCGCAUAGCUGGAAUUACGAGUGUGCACCACCAUGCCCAGCUAAUUUUUGUAUUUUUAGUAGAGACAGUAGAUGUUGGCCAGGCUGGUCUUGAACUACUGACCACAAGUGAUCUGCCUGUCUCCACCUUGCAAAGUGCUGGGAUUACAGGCAUGAGCCACAGCACCUGGCCCCUUCUUUCUUUCCUUCCUUCCUUCCUUCCUUCCUUCCUUCCUUCCUUCCUUCUUCUUCUCUUCUCUCUCUCUCUUUCAUUCUUUCUUUUUUCUUUCUUUCUCCCUCCCUCCCUCUCUCCCUUCCUUUCUUCCUCUCAAUGAACAUAGUAUUUUGAAUACUAUAGUAGACUAAAUAGUGCCCCCCCCACCAAAGGUCCAUGUUGUAAUACCUGGAACCUGUGAAUAUGUUACCUUACAUGGCAAAGGGCACUUACUUUGCAGAUAUGAUAAAGAGGGACUCAGAAGGUGUCAGAGUCAAGGAAGACAAUAUGACAACAAGCCAAGAGGGGUUUGAAGAUGCUACUUUGCUGGCUUUGAAAGGGGCCAGAGCCAGAGAAUCCAAGGAAUGCAGCUCUAGCAGCUGGAAAGGCCACAGUUCUCCCCUAGAGCCUCUGGAGGGAGCGCAGCCCUGCCAGCACCGUAGGUUCAGCCCGGAUGCACCAUUUCAGACUUCGGACCUCCAGAACUAUAAGAGAAUAUAUUGUGCUAUUUUAAACCUUAAAGUUUGUGGUCAUUUGUUCCAGCAGCAACAGGAAACUAAUUUGAGCACCAAGCACUGUAUCUGAUAUAACCAAAGCUUCAAAGGAGGGUGCAGGCCCAGGAGUCGUGUGGCCACUGCCAGGAGAGCUAAAGCCAUAAGACUCUUGGCCACCUCGCUUCCUGCCUCUCUCAGUUGAUUCCCUGUGACUCUAUCCCUGCAUGGAGGAGAGACAAGUGAAAAUGAAAGACAGAUGAAUGUGUCAAGUUGAGAGCUCUUUACAUGAUGAAGGUGUUUCUGCUUCAUUGCAUGAAACAGAACAUAGAGCGGUGAUAAAACCCAGCCAGAUCCUUUGGGUUGACUUCCAACCGCAGGUGGUGGUUACUCAUUAGGAAAGAGCGAACACUGUAAUGACUUCAAAACUAAGGAGUGCAAAGCCAAAUAUUCACUAAUAAUCACUCAUCAAGGAGAACAGAUGGCACACGUUGAACACUCCUGAAAAUGAAAGCCCUUGGCUGCAGGGGUGAAUGUCCAGGACCCACAGAAAAUAUCAAGUCAGAUACCUCUUGAAGCACUGAUGGGAAGGUGCAGCUGGACUCCCUGGAACUCUGAAGCUGAGAGACAGAGCACUACGGAAGGGAGCCCCAUUCCCAAGCAUGGUGUCCAAUACACUGAAAGAAUAACUGGGCUCAGUAAUGCACCUAGAGACUCAGAUUCCAGACCUGCCCACUUGCUUUACUAUCCAAAACAACCAUGACACAUGACUUCUCUGGCGGGGUGUUGGCCAAGACAAACUGAACUAUAGAAGAUCCUUGACUUGCCAACGUUCAAAUGAUGAACUUUCAAAAAUAGCGAAACUGGCUGCAGAGCAAAAGCUUUUCAGCUCUGCACAACACCAACAGAUGGCGCUAAGUGUCACCCUUGUGGAGAGCAGAGGGACCUCGGAAGGGCCUUUGGAAAUCUAAUCUGGUUUUGAGUUCUUGGUGGGAAAAUGCACCUUUAAGUUGGGGGAGUUUGAAGACGUUGCCAAGACACGUGCUGCAGCAUUUGAUCUUUUCUGCCGCACUGGCUUCUGCAAUUAACAUGCUUUCACCAGUGAAACUCAGGUUGCGGGGAGAGCAUUCUUCCAGGUUCAUGCCUGUUGUCAUGGAGUAAUUAUAAUUCAUGUCUCCGUUCACAGUGUCCUGGUUUGUAGAAUAAAAUAUCUGGUCCACCCA
Molecule: long non-coding RNA, 1994 nt
Filed under: Homo sapiens (human)
Lineage: Eukaryota; Metazoa; Chordata; Mammalia; Primates; Hominidae
Description: HSALNT0360308
Source: RNAcentral